GAUGAACGCUGGCGGCGUGCUUAACACAUGCAAGUCGAACGAAGCAUUUAGAACAGAUUAUUUCGGUAUGAAGUUCUUUAUGACUGAGUGGCGGACGGGUGAGUAACGCGUGGGUAACCUGCCUUGCACUGGGGGAUAGCAGCUGGAAACGGCUGGUAAUACCGCAUAAGCGCACAAUGUUGCAUGACAUGGUGUGAAAGACUCCGGUGGUAUAAGAUGGACCCGCGUCUGAUUAGCUAGUUGGUGAGAUAACAGCCCACCAAGGCGACGAUCAGUAGCCGACCUGAGAUGGUGACCGGCCACAUUGGGACUGAGACACGGCCCAGACUCCUACGGGAGGCAGCAGUGGGGAAUAUUGCACAAUGGAGGAAACUCUGAUGCAGCGACGCCGCGUGAGUGAAGAAGUAAUUCGUUAUGUAAAGCUCUAUCAGCAGGGAAGAUAGUGACGGUACCUGACUAAGAAGCUCCGGCUAAAUACGUGCCAGCCGCCGCGGUAA
Molecule: ribosomal RNA, 497 nt
Filed under: uncultured bacterium
Lineage: Bacteria
Description: partial 16S ribosomal RNA
Rfam family: Bacterial small subunit ribosomal RNA
Source: RNAcentral